RNAcentral lists this long non-coding RNA (1342 nucleotides) under Salmo salar (Atlantic salmon). RNAcentral's name for it is "lncRNA (ENSSSAG00000081929.1)". Lineage: Eukaryota; Metazoa; Chordata; Actinopteri; Salmoniformes; Salmonidae. The record is from RNAcentral.
CCCAUCUGUCACAUGCACUUAUGUUAGAUUUCUCAUAAGCUUUAAAACUGGCAUUGAAUUAACCAACAGACCACUUCAACUACAAUAAUAAUCUUAGUAAUGUUUACAUAUUUUUUAUUAUCUUGCUAUGACUGUAUAUGUUGUUUUUUUGUCUGCGUUGGUUGAAUGCACUGAUUGUCAGUCGCUAUGGAUAAGAGCGGCUGCUGAAUGACCAAAAUGUAAAUGUCAAAAAACAACACUUGCAAAGCAUGCUGGGUAAACAAGUACAAAUUUGGUCGGUGCGGACCAGAUCCAAAUCUGAACGAAUCAUAGAUGUCUAGCUAUGUUUGACAAGUUUGAACAUCACAUUUCAAAAUGGCAGUUUAGUAUAGUAGAGUAUAGUAUAGUAUAGUACGGUAUGGUACGGUACAGAACAAUUGAGUUUUAUUCAGUAGAGUAGAGUAGAGUACAGUAUGGUACAGUAGAGUUAAAUUCAGUAGAGUACAGUGGAGUACAGCAUGGUACAGUACAGUAGAGUUUAAUUCAGUAGAGUUUAAUUCAGAGUACAGUAUUACAGUACAGUAAAGAAAAGUAGAGUAUAGUACAGUAGAGUUUAAUUCAGUAGAGUUUAAUUCAGAGUACAGUAUUACAGUACAGUAAAGAAAAGUAGAGUAUAGUACAGUAGAGUUUAGUUCAGUAGAGUAGAGUACAUUAGAGUAAAGUAGGGUACAAUACAGUCACUAUACUUACAUUUUUUUUACUGUACAGUACAGCAUGGUACAGUAGAGUUUAAUUUAGUAUAGUUUAAUUCAGUAGAGUAUAGUAUUACAGUACACAGUACAGUAAAGAAAAGUAGAAUAUAGUACAGUAGAGUUUAGUUCAGUAGAGUAGAGAACAUUAGAGUAAAGUAGGGUACAAUACAGUCACUAUACUUUAAUUUUCUUUACUGUACUGUGCCGGGGCAAAAAUCUGAUAUCAACUUUGGAGGGGACAAUUACAUGAAAUUUUCUCAAGAGCAAUUCCUGAGGGGGACACCAAAAGUAGUGCAGUAACACAUAGCCUACAUUGUAAUAUGGUAAAUGUAUAUUGAGGAACCAAAGAAAUAAGGUGUUUGCCGUACUCCUAACUACCGGUACCCAAAACUACACAACUAAUCACAACAGCAAUACCAUUGCCUUUAACAAAUCUUAGUUCAGUCACCAGUUUAAGUUGAGAGUGGGGGUAUCCAUGGCAUUUUCCAAUUAUGUUCCUAUUUUACAAGUUAAAAAAAUUGAGAACCUUUCAUAAUGUUGCCAAACAAAGACUCAACAAACUUACCUGAGACUCCCUGUCUCUGCCAGUCUGUCCCUGCAUAUCUGUCCCC